CUCGAAGUACUCGCUGCACGCUGCCAGCACCGCCUUGUGCGCGGGGAAGCUCUCCUCGCCGACGCGCAGGAUCACGUCGCAGAACCUGCCUCCAUCUUUCCUCUGGACGUCGAGGUUGUGUAGCAUCUCCGCGCUGUGCUUGCUCACCUGACCCCUCCCCCAACAUAGCGUCGACAUCAAAGCCUUUUUCCGCUCGGCAAUCGACAUGUUGCCCUGAGUAGCAUCGUGGUACUCGCUCGGCUCCAGGUGACGCUGAUUUGACGUCACGAAUCUACAGUGACCUGUCAGUUUAAAGCAAUAAUCAUUUUAGCGAACAAAAAUAAAAUUCACGGUCACUGGCGACACAUUUCAAUAAUUGUUAAGCUGUGGUUUCAUCCCGUUUAAGGUAGAUAAAGACCAUUGCAUACGAUGACACGGCAAGCAAAAUCAGUAUAUGUUAGGCACACUAGACGAAUAACUUGUCUGCUGUUGCUUCAUUUUUAAAACGUUGACCAGUCUUUUUGUUUUAUGGUCGACAAUAAUCGAUUGUCUCACAUUUAAGGUAAACCCAGUGCAUAUUUCCUUGGUCCAUUAACCAGGAACCACAUAACUAUUCUGAAGAUUGUUCACAGAUUUGUGAUAUCAAGUGAUGUUUCGCUUUUUCUAUGGAGAGGAAAACACUCAUAAAAAAUAUUUGGGCUAUCAAUUUAAUAUUUUCAGAAGUUGAAGUGGGCAUGAGGUUAGAUGCAUACAAACAUUUGGUGAUGAUCGUUUUUGGAGAUGAAGUGUUUUUUACAUUAAGCAUUGUUGAUUGUUCCACAGUAUUAACCUAACGAGCAUCAACAUUUUGCCGCAAUCCAGCCCACUAGCAGCUUUUAAGAUGCAAUCACUGAAGAAUAAUAUAAUUUAGCCCCUGACAAAAGUCAAAUUGUAUUUUGACUUUGCGGUGCCGUCACAAUUGUUACACCCGAUUUGACGAAAUUAAUUACCACCGAAACAAAACUACAAAUGUGAUACAGUUCUUAAUUUGGGCAAUACAUCCAACUUUUACGAUAAAUACACGGCUAGGGUGGUGCUAUUUCGCCUUCUUGCAUGAAUUGAUGAAGUCUUCUCAUGCGAGAGGCGAAAUGUCCCAGAUCCGGUCAUGUUGGGAUAGUACAGUUGCAAUAGUUUUAAUUUCCUGACAAUACAAUGAUCCGGAUCCAAGAAUUUCACAUUCAAGCCAAUUCCGUUUACAAAAUUAGUGACAUUUCACCUAAACAUACAGUAUCUGGCCGAUUUUAACCAUUUAAGCGACUGACAUACAGAAAGAUGUUUAAAAUGCCAGACAACUCAUACUUAUUUGUAAAUUGAACUGACAAUUCGUGGGACAAAAAGUAAACCAUACAAAAACACUUAAACAUUCAAUACCGUUUGUCACAAUUUUUAUUCAUUCUAUCUGUGCUUUAUAACUUAAUAGCACAAAAAACUGAAUCCAGACACCUCCAGGAAUGUCAAGACUGCCUCCUCUUGUGGCAGUUUGGAGAGUAUAGGAUACAGU
Long non-coding RNA from Hippocampus zosterae (dwarf seahorse), 1519 nucleotides. RefSeq lists it as uncharacterized. The record is from RefSeq and is a predicted model, not a curated record. Lineage: Eukaryota; Metazoa; Chordata; Actinopteri; Syngnathiformes; Syngnathidae. The transcript is spliced from 2 exons.